Oenanthe melanoleuca is the source of this 1864-nucleotide long non-coding RNA. RefSeq lists it as uncharacterized. The record is from RefSeq and is a predicted model, not a curated record. Lineage: Eukaryota; Metazoa; Chordata; Aves; Passeriformes; Muscicapidae. The transcript has 3 exons.
UCUUUUCUUCUUACAGUGAAGUGAAGGAAUAACUGAGUCUUGAGAUAGCAUUUUGUGUCCAGUGACUCUAAUAGACAAAUUUGUUAAUUUGCACCAAAAGGUAAAUUGAUUCUUAGCCCAGAGUGUGACUCUUCUGUGCCAGCUUUUUAAAGACAGAGGUUAACAAAGCUCUUCAAACACACCAAACACUCUUCUCUAAUACAAUUCCACCUCCAUCUAUAAGGACAAUUCUCUGGCUGGUUUCUGAAUUCUGGUGCUCCCUAUUUAAAUACCCAUGGGAAGUACGAGCAGUCUCCUACUCAUUUCUUAUUUGAGAAUUUAAUAGCAACAGUUAAAUGAUAAAUACUAUAAGAAAGUGGGCUGGGGAAGUGGGAGGAAGAUGAAAAAAUGACAAAAAUAUUGGGAAAGAGAGAAGCUUAAAACUUCUUGUAGGACAUCACUGUAGCUCUUCUGACUCUUUAUUUGACUCUUGCUUCUCUUAAGGAUCCAAAUAUUUACAACUGUAAUUGUCAGCCAGAGAAGUGGUAAAUAUCAAUAUCUAAUAGCUGGUGUCCUUCUCCCUGUUCUCCCCUAUUGGAUAUUUCCUAGGAAAUGCUGUCACUGAACAAACCCCACAUCAGUGACUUCUUAUUUCCCCAGCUCCUCCUUGGAUGUGCCUUUCUCAUCCCCACAAAAACUCCUUUGCAUUUCAGGAUUGGCUGGCUGAUCUUUCUUUUUGCUGGCAGCUCUUGCUGCUCUCAUUAGUACAUGAAAGUCUGAUUGUGCUGGGCAGCUCUGUCCUGACAGAGCAACUCUGAAAUUAGAUGUGAAGUGCAACAUCACUAAUUCUCCUUUUUAGAAUUAACUUAAAGGAAAAGAAGAAAACCACAAAAACAUAGGACUGCAGCCUUGCCAUUUCUUUUUCCUGAGAGGAUCAUAAAUUAUUUAAAGUUUCUUCAUCUUCAGAAUGCCCAGAUGAAUGCUCUGAGAUAUUCAAAGGCCAGAAGCUGAAAGAUUAUACAGGCAGCAACCUGUACUCAACAUGGAGAAAAAUAACAAGCAGGCAGGAAAAAAUAACCAGCAUCAAAUGGCAAAAUCAACAUUUUUGUUCAUCUUGUAAUGAAUACUGUGAGCAAGCCAAGACCCAAUAAAAAACAGAGGUUUUUAUUUCUCAAGUAGCAAUGACAUCAUCAAUAGAUGGGGAGAGAAGGCUCCUAAAGAAUAAGAAAUAAAUUCAAAUGGAAGCUCUUUAGGUUUUUCAGCAUGCAUUAAUUACUUGGGUUCAGGGACCAGUCCCAGAAUUGGCUGCAAUUUGUUAAUGCAGCAGGGAGUGGGUGAUGGUUUUUGGCUCUGAGUGAGCACUGUCCUCCAGUGCAGAUGUGGGGCUGUGAACAUUCACACCACCCUGUGUGCAUGGCACUGCUGCCAUCUGGGCCACCACACAGAAUUUUGGGGCUCUCAGACCCCUGUGCAAGGCUGUGACCUCAGCCCAGUGUGGGGAUGGACAGGGAGGAACCAGAAGAGAGAAUAAGGAGAUGUGCAGAGAAUUUUAUUGGACUCAUCACUCUCCCAACUCCCUGAGAGGAGGGGGCAGCCAGGGUGGGGUCAGGCAACAGUGACAGGAGGAGGGGACAUGGCCCCAGGCUGGGAAUUUGGGGAAUUUCUUCCUGUCAAACAUCGGGAAAAGCUGCCUGGGCAGGUGGUGGAGUCACCACCCCUGGGGGUGAUUCCUGGACAUUUAGUGCCAGAAGUCUGGGUGACACUGUUGGGUCACAGGCUGGGUCUGGUGGCCUCAGAGGUCUUUUCCAACCUAAUUGAUUCUGUCAAAGCCUUCCAGGGUCUGAUGGGCUCUGGGGCUGCCUGGCUGAGCCUGCAGGAGUGGGCA